This is a long non-coding RNA of Macadamia integrifolia, 4043 nucleotides long. RefSeq lists it as uncharacterized. The transcript is spliced from 2 exons. NCBI's taxonomy places the organism in Eukaryota, Viridiplantae, Streptophyta, Magnoliopsida, Proteales, Proteaceae. The record is from RefSeq and is a predicted model, not a curated record.
GGAGGAGGGAAGGCCCAGGAGACAACAAUGAGCCUGUUCCUUGGGGAGUUUGUAACCCUACAGUGUGGGGAGGGAAGCAAGCUUGGAGUUGACGUCAAAAUAGAUGGCAUUUCAAAUCUUAUUAUAAGAAUGGGAGUUGGAUGUCCAUCUACAAAGGUUCCACUCCAUCCAGAGAUAACUAAUGGUGAUGCAAAAAGCAAGCUUCCAACAGUGUCACAAAUGGCGGAACCAGCAAAGGUCAUAUUAACUCAAAUCCAUUCUCUAUUAAAGGUGAGAACUCUUUUGCUAGAAGGCCAACAACGACUAAUGACUCUUUUCCAGAUAAUAGAGGAGAAGGGACGGGAAAAGAAGAGAUAGUCAACAUCUUUAGAUCCAUUCCAUUAUAGGCAGCAUGCAGGGGGAACCUGAAUGUGGCGGUAAAUAAGGAAAGACUGCGUAGGGAGGCAGUUAGAGAUAGCAUGCCAAGCAAUGAAACUAUGGCGAGGGAUAUGGUCUUUGAACCAAAAGACUUUGUGCUAGAGCAUAAAAGGGGCUUUGGAUCUAACAGAGUCCCAAGCCAAGGAAAAGCUAAACAAUCCGAAGGGGGAAGGAGUCCAAAGGAUUUUUUCUUUCUUCCUCUAUGACCAAGGGGAAGAGGAGGGAGGGAAGACUGGAUGUCAGCUAAAGAGGAGGGGACCAAACUUUAUUGUGGAUAAUGGAUGAGAUGGUGGCAUUCCUACCCAAAUUGCAGGAGUAGAUGAUACUGGGGCUAAUAACAGGGACGAGAACACUUGAAGGAUACCUAGGGUCAAGACAAAGGGAGGAAGAAAUGCUGUUGCCAAUGGAGUAGGAGAUGGCGCCGAUAGCUGUGGGUCUCAAGUUGAGGAUAAUUUGCUAGACCCAGAAGGCAGGCCUGGGGGAAAUGGUCCAAAGGGAGUCAUUUUUGAGGAGUAAGGAUAGACCCAAGCGACCCAAAUACUGUUGUGUAUGGACACAAUCUUCCAGAUAAGCUCAAGGAUGCCUGCAGAAUUAAUAUCUUUAAUGCGCCUUAGGCCAAGGCCACCUUCGGAUUUGGGUAGACAAACAGUACUCCAGCCGGUGGGGUGGAGGAAUUGGCUAGAGUUGGUUCCUUUCUAAAGGAAGGAACGAAGAAGCGACUGUAUUCUUUUAUUAGUUUCCUUUUGGAGGGAGUAGAUCCUCUAUCUAUUGUAAGGGCCUUAGAGCCCAACCCCACGAUUUGAAGUUGAUUGAGAAUCUGGUUUGUAAGGGUCGUAGAGCCCAACCCCACCUGUGUAGUUUACUGCUAAUUGACUGCCAUUCCAUUAUAUGCUUUGCCAGGCUAAAAUCAUAACUGCACAUAUUCCAUAGACAUUUCCAAGAUAAAAUCAUAUAACAAAUUUCCAUUCUAACCAUAUUCUUUAAUCUGUGAGGCAUUUGUACAUUCUGUAUCUAAAUCCCUGUGAAUAAAGAGAAAUAAAUGUCAAACAAGAGUUCAUGUAAGUGCAGUUAGGAGUAGGGAUUGUUAGAGAUAUAUGUGAUUUGUUUUUUUUUUUUGGUCUUUAUCCGUUUAGAUUUGUUAAUAUCAAGUAGGAGAUUGAGUCCAAUUUAGAGUCACGUUCUGUUUUACUUGGGUAAGGAUUAGGAUUCUUUUAAGCCUUCAAAUACAUGCUGUAACAAAGGAGGCAUUGGUUUUCUUAAUGAGAAGUUUGUUUUGAGUAGACACCUAUGGCUGCCAAGAGCUGCGCAUCCCUCUCUCAUUUCAGGUACAGUUGAUCCAUAUCCCUUUUCCUUAUUCUUUUCUGCUUUAUUUGUUUUCUGUUAUUAUUUCUCCUCCAGUACUACUUUGCUGUCAUCGUUAACUUUCAUUGCACAUAUUUCCUGGUUCUCUGUUGAAUGGUAUUAAGGCCGAGAAGGACUUUCUGACCUUUCAAUUCAAGUCGGUUUGCCAUAAGAUUUUGGUAGUUGGUUCGCCGCCUUAGGGCGACCCUAACCCAGGGUGAUUAUCUCCAGAACUACCGUCUGCUGUAAGAUUCAAACCAGCAAACAGACCUGAGUCUGCUGGUUUCUGUCAUACCCUGUUUCCAGAAUUUUGUUAUUUCUUUGCUUGUUAUAUUGAUUGCUUGCUGGUUGGAUUCAGUAAGUCAUCAAAGUAUUGAACUGUCCCUGAAAUUUUUAAUCUAUAGGGACCUCUUUGGUUGGAUUCAGUCACCCAAAUCUAUGCUGAAUCUACCAUAUCCAUGGUUUUGGCUAGAGGUAGAAGAAGAUAGAAUUUUAUAUUAGGGAGAGGGUUCCCUGAAAGGCAGUGUGGCCCCUAUCCCAGCGUGUGAGCUAAUGGGAGCAUGUGUGGAAGCAUCAACAGGGGUGGGAUUUCCGCCUUUCAUGAGGUCAGGGUGGUCAUUUCGUCCACCUCGAGGUAAUGCUGCCUUUCAGGUUUCUUUUUCCCUUUAUAUUAUUUACAAUUAGUCUCAUGCACUGAUUUACAUUGAUACCCUUCCUUUUAAGAUUUGUUUAUGCCUUAUCCCAUCUUCAUUUUAAUUUUCAGAAUUGUACUUUGCUCUUAACUUUAAUUCUUGUUACGUCCCUGUUUUUCUUAAUUCACCGAAAGGGAGUUCAGAUCUUCCAUUUAAUUACACAAUUUCCUUUCAACCCCAUUAAUUUGAAGUGUGUACCAUUCUUGUGGGCCCAUAACGACCCCGUAAUCAAGGUAUUUAACCCGGGAUCACAUCAACAUUUCUAUACAAGGAGCAUAUUAUUAAGUCAAGUUAAUACCUCACGUUAAAAGCAUAUGCAAACAGGUCAACUCUGCUCAAUUGUCUACCCAACACCCCUGAACUAGUUGAAAUUUUGGCUGCACUGGAGGCUAAUCCAGUGUGAAAUUGUUGGAAACUAGAAACCUGGAAAAACCUAGUGGUUAUAUUGGAUCUGCACAGUAAUUGCCACUCCUAAAUAAGAAGCAACAUGAAAAGGAGACAUGAACACUUUUCCUGAUUUUAACUCAUUUCUCCAGGGUGCUGUCUAAAAGAAAAGUUGUUUCCUACUUGUUUAAUUCGUUACUAUAAUAUAAAAUGUGCUGUAGAAAUUGGGGACAUUCUAUGGAUUUGUCUCUUUGGAAACAUAGUGUGGAGAAGAAAUUUUUGGUGAACUAUGCAAUUCUUUGUUCUGUCAGACCUAUGAAGGAUCAUAUCAGGAUUUAAACUAAAAACUAAGAUUUUCUCUUUUGGAUUUCAGUUAUAAUACCUAGAUUAACUAGUGUGUAUAAAGUUUGUAUUCCUUGCUGCAUCUUUCAUCUUUCCUUCUGUACUUUUUUGAGUUGUUUCUGCUAGGUCGACUGUUAUUGCACUCAUCCUAUCCUUUGUUUUUGCUCAGACGACUGUGUUACAGAGUGGUAUUUUCGAUCAUUUGAUAAACAUCUGGGAUUUUAAUACUGGACCUGUUCCAGGAACUUGUGACAUUCAUUUCUUAGUGGACUUCAAGUUCCAGUCACCACUUUAUCGUCAGGUAGCAUCCUUGUUCUUCAAGGAAGUGGUCUCUCGACUCGUUGAAUCAUUCACCGGCCAUUGCCGUUUGAUUUAUGGACCCGGGGUCCAAGUAUUUGAAAAUCCUUAUGGACAGAGAAUAUAAACAGGUAGUUUUAUUGAAUUGUACCUGACAAAGACCGAUGGAGCCUCAGGCACUGGGUUGCUCUUUUUUUUUCUUUUCUUUUAAAGACAGAUGGAAAUCAUAAAAUGCUCACAUGCAUCACUCAAGUGGCAGUCCAAUUACUGUGCUACGGACUUAUGGUCUGGGUCGGUAGAUUCAGCAUGCCCUAGGAUGCCCUUUGCUAAUGCAUAUUCUCUUUCAACUUGGCCACAGGCUUAUGAAUGUUGUUGGUUAGUGCAAUUUGAAGGUUAAGGUGCUUACCCUACACAAUAGGUAUUUUUCCUUUUUGUCCCAACACAAUUUGGUGUUGCAGCUCACUGAUGAUUUAUGCCCCCUACAGUGAUCAAUGUUUGUAUUUUUUUUUUUUGUGACUGAACAGUGAUCAAGAUCUUUCAUAAGUCAUAUAUUUAUCUGGAUUAUUACCA